GAGCCUGAUCGAGACGGUUCGCAGCAUGACACCCGCGGCGACGAUCAUCGUGUCAGGACCACUGCCCACGUAUCGACGAGGACACGAAAGGUUCAGUAGACUUGUUGCUUUAAAUGAAUGGUUGUUGUCAUGGUGUAAAGAACAGAAACUGCUAUUUGUUAAUAACUGGAAUCUUUUCUGGGAGCGUCCUAGGCUGUUUCGCGCUGAUGGCCUGCACCCCAGCAGAGUCGGAGCGGAGCUGCUCUCUGACAACAUCUCCAGGACACUUCGCUCCAUGUGACUAGGCAGUUUGUAAAGACAGAUAAUCAAGAGAAGUCAGUUCCAGAUCCACCUUCCACACCAGACCUCUCUCUCAUGAGGAUUGCUGUCUACUAGCAUAUUGUGUUCUCUUCAGACUUCGGGGGAUGCAGAUAUUACUCAGGGACAUGAACACUUGAAUAUUGCAAGAAUAGAGAAAGUAAGAAUUACUUAAGAUUUUAGAAUUUAAUGUUAAUUGCUUAAACAUAUAUACAUAUAUUUUUUUUUAGAUAUUUUUUUGUGGCAGUGUGAACUGGCCAUAAUGCUGUAUGAUAGGUGUGAGAUUCAUUAAACUUGAUUUGCUAUAAUA
This is a long non-coding RNA of Carassius carassius (crucian carp), 607 nucleotides long. RefSeq lists it as uncharacterized. The record is from RefSeq and is a predicted model, not a curated record. The transcript has 2 exons. NCBI's taxonomy places the organism in Eukaryota, Metazoa, Chordata, Actinopteri, Cypriniformes, Cyprinidae.